Oryzias melastigma (Indian medaka) is the source of this 720-nucleotide long non-coding RNA. RefSeq lists it as uncharacterized. The transcript has 4 exons. The record is from RefSeq and is a predicted model, not a curated record. Lineage: Eukaryota; Metazoa; Chordata; Actinopteri; Beloniformes; Adrianichthyidae.
GGGUAGAAAAAGAAAGCCUUUUAACAAAUUUAUUUUUGAUUGGCUUUCUGGGAAACUAAAGGCGCGUGUCUAAUCAUGUAGUGACGUCAUGGGAGAGCUUCUUUUCCUGGUGGGUGUAAAAUACGAGAUUUAUAUAUAUAUAUGUAUAUGUAUAUUUUAAAUGAAUUUAGUUUUCAUUAAGGUAUUUUGUAAUUUAGAUUUUUAUUGAUGAAAACCACAGUAAAAGUUUUUUUUGAGGGGGACUAUUUUCUUGUGAAUCCCUCCGCAGUUGUGCCUCAUCGCAUCUCCGCUCAGCUUCGUUUUUUUCACGUUCAGAAAACCUGGGCCGCUGCACAGAAAAGGCCGUUACCGGUGAGACUCGUCAGGUGGACCCUAAAAUGCUUCAAACACCAAAGUCAAGCAGCUCUGGAUCUCCUUUAUCCAGCACUUUUCUGCGGAAUUCUUCAGUGGAAAAUCCUUCACCUUUAACUCAUGAGGGUGGCUGUUUUUGCCUCGGCUGCAGCUGCCCUCACUCCUCCAUGCAGGGAGGAUGGAGAGGAAUGGGGAGGAUUAUAAAUCAAGAUUCUGGAUUUUUCUUUGGAAUCGGCUGGUGAGUCGAUCCAUGGACGGAUCGACCAGAACUUCAAGCUUUACUUUGUCCUGCACAGUUUUUAGGACACUGUUGAAUUUGGAAAUGAUAAAAUACUGAAUAAAAAAAAAACACAUUUUUGGUGUUUUUAA